Molecule: unclassified non-coding RNA, 200 nt
Filed under: uncultured fungus
Lineage: Eukaryota; Fungi
Description: sequence contains ITS1
Source: RNAcentral
UUAAUUCAUUGUUUGGUCACUCAGACGUCAUUGAUAGAUCGAGUUUGGAGGUCCUCCGACGGGCGCUCACCAGCCGAAACCGGCGGGGGGUGUUCCCCGGGCCCGCCAAAGCAACAGAGGUAGAUACACAAGGGGUGGGAGGUUCGGGCCCCGAGGACCCUCUCUCGUUAAUGAUCCUUCCGCAGGUUCACCUACGGAAA